Molecule: ribosomal RNA, 406 nt
Filed under: uncultured bacterium
Lineage: Bacteria
Description: partial 16S ribosomal RNA
Rfam family: Bacterial small subunit ribosomal RNA
Source: RNAcentral
AUUGAACGCUGGCGGCAGGCCUAACACAUGCAAGUCGAGCGAGCGGGGGAGGGGUGAGUAAUGUCUGGGAAACUGUCUGAUGGAGGGGGAUAACUACUCGAAACGGUAUCUAAUAUCGCAUACCACAAGAUGUGUCCAGGUGGGAUUAGCUAGGAGGUGGGGUAACGGCUCACCUAGGCGACGAUCCCUAGCUGGUCUGAGAGGAUGACCAGCCACACUGGAACUGAGACACGGUCCAGACUCCUACGGGAGGCAGCAGUGGGGAAUAUUGCACAAUGGGCGCAAGCCUGAUGCAGCCAUGCCGCGUGUGUGAAGAAGGCCUUCGGGUUGUAAAGCACUUUCAGCGGGGAGGCGUUACCCGCAGAAGAAGCACCGGCUAACUCCGUGCCAGCCGCCGCGGUAAUUC